GCCCCUGUAGACCAAUCGGCAGAGUCGAUGGAUUCAAAAUCCAUACAGUGUGGGUUCGAAUCCCACCGGGGGCAC
RNAcentral lists this transfer RNA (75 nucleotides) under Actinomycetospora sp. NBRC 106375. RNAcentral describes it as "tRNA-Leu". It matches the Rfam family "tRNA". Rfam says of the family: Transfer RNA (tRNA) molecules are approximately 80 nucleotides in length. The record is from RNAcentral. Lineage: Bacteria; Bacillati; Actinomycetota; Actinomycetes; Pseudonocardiales; Pseudonocardiaceae.